GAUGAAGAACGCAGCGAAAUGCGAUAAGUAAUGUGAAUUGCAGAAUUCAGUGAAUCAUCGAAUCUUUGAACGCACAUUGCGCCCCCUGGUAUUCCGGGGGGCAUGCCUGUUCGAGCGUCAUUUCACCACUCAAGCCUCGCUUGGUAUUGGGCAACGCGGUCCGCCGCGUGCCUCAAAUCGACCGGCUGGGUCUUCUGUCCCCUAAGCGUUGAGGAAACUAUUCGCUAAAGGGUGUUCGGGAGGCUACGCCGUAAAACAACCCCAUUUCUAAGGUUGACCUCGGAUCAGGUAGGGAUACCCGCUGAACUUAAGCAUAUCAAUAAGCGGAAGA
Molecule: unclassified non-coding RNA, 331 nt
Filed under: soil metagenome
Description: partial contains 5.8S ribosomal RNA, internal transcribed spacer 2, and large subunit ribosomal RNA
Rfam family: 5.8S ribosomal RNA (bases 1-120)
Source: RNAcentral